RNAcentral lists this ribosomal RNA (233 nucleotides) under uncultured bacterium. Its description in RNAcentral is "partial 16S ribosomal RNA". It matches the Rfam family "Bacterial small subunit ribosomal RNA", at positions 99 to 334 of the family's 1533-position model. The record is from RNAcentral.
CGCACGGGUGAGUAAUAUAUAGGUAACGUGCCCUAGAGAGGGGGAUAACAUUUGGAAACGAAUGCUAAUACCCCAUAUGCCUUUAAGUCUUAAGACUGCAAGGGAAAUAUUUAUAGCUCUAGGAUCGGCCUGUACGGUACCAGUUUGUUGGUGAGGUAAUGGCUCACCAAGACUAUGACGCCUAACUGGUUUGAGAGGAUGAUCAGUCACACUGGAACUGAGACACGGUCCAG